GUGGGGAAUAUUGGACAAUGGGCGCAAGCCUGAUCCAGCCAUGCCGCGUGAGUGAUGAAGGCCUUAGGGUUGUAAAGCUCUUUCAGUGGGGACGAUAAUGACGGUACCCACAGAAGAAGCCCCGGCUAACUUCGUGCCAGCAGCCGCGGUAAUACGAAGGGGGCUAGUGUUGUUCGGAUUUACUGGGCGUAAAGCGCACGUAGGCGGAUCGUUAAGUCGGGGGUGAAAUCCUGGAGCUCAACUCCAGAACUGCCUUCGAUACUGGCGAUCUUGAGUCCGGAAGAGGCGAGUGGAACUCCUAGUGUAGAGGUGGAAUUCGUAGAUAUUAGGAAGAACACCAGUGGCGAAGGCGGCUCACUGGUCCGGUACUGACGCUGAGGUGCGAAAGCGUGGGGAACAAACAGGAUUAGAAACCCUUGUAGUCC
RNAcentral lists this ribosomal RNA (425 nucleotides) under uncultured bacterium. RNAcentral's name for it is "partial 16S ribosomal RNA". It matches the Rfam family "Bacterial small subunit ribosomal RNA", at positions 354 to 796 of the family's 1533-position model. The record is from RNAcentral.